ACGCUCGACACCUACGGGAGGCNGCAGUGGGGAAUAUUGCACAAUGGGGGAAACCCUGAUGCAGCGACGCCGCGUGAGUGAAGAAGUAUUUCGGUAUGUAAAGCUCUAUCAGCAGGGAAGAAGAUGACGGUACCUGAGUAAGAAGCCCCGGCUAACUACGUGCCACAGCCGCGGUAAUCUGAGCGGGCUGGCAAGGC
This 197-nucleotide ribosomal RNA is filed under the name uncultured bacterium. Its description in RNAcentral is "partial 16S ribosomal RNA". It matches the Rfam family "Bacterial small subunit ribosomal RNA", at positions 328 to 539 of the family's 1533-position model. The record is from RNAcentral.